RNAcentral lists this long non-coding RNA (1710 nucleotides) under Salmo salar (Atlantic salmon). RNAcentral's name for it is "lncRNA (ENSSSAG00000082824.1)". The record is from RNAcentral. Lineage: Eukaryota; Metazoa; Chordata; Actinopteri; Salmoniformes; Salmonidae.
AGCACUAUUAUAAUUCAGGCUACCAUCACGUUUUAUAGUACUACCAGGUCAUUAGCUUGUUUAAAAUAGACAUAUUGAUGCUGGUGUUGAUGAACCUGAGGGUAACAGGAUAAACAGUGUCAAUUGGACAAGUCCAUGUAGUCCCUCCCUGUUUGUCUGUUUUUCUUCCGUUUGGUGAUUAACAAACACAAUCCAUAUGUGCUGCUAGCUAGCUACCCUGGUUUUAUGAUAGGUCUACACAGGAAGAGCUGUUUAUAUGAUAGGCCUACCCAGGAAGAGCUGUUUAUAUGAUAGGUCUACCCAGGAAGAGCUGUUUAUAUGAUAGGCCUACCCAGGAAGAGCUGUUUAUAUGAUAGGUCUACCCAGGAAGAGCUGUUUAUAUGAUAGGCCUACCCAGGAAGUGUUGUUUAUAUGAUAGGUCUAACCAGGAAGUGCUGUUUAUAGUGCAUAGAGAGAACAUUGGAACAGUAAAUCUUUGGUAACCAUAGCGCUGCCAUCGUCACCAUGUUUACUUUGUGAGUCACUGCCCAUUCCCAGAGGUUUCAUCAGUUCAGUUGACACAACAUCCCGUCGUCCCUCACUUGUAUCAAUAUCGUUCCUAUCUGACAGCGAACGUCAUUCAGAAACGUUAACCGUGUGUAGAGGUUGUGUAAACGGUAAAGUUUAUCUAGCUAUUGUGUGUCAGUUUACACGGAGGUGAGGGUGGUCGAUCCUACAGAGUUAAACAGCAGACCGUUAUCUUUUAAUAACGUGUUAGUUAGACUAACCCAGAGUCACAGGGAAAGGAAGCAGUGUUGGUUGUGGUGUUGUAGGGACAUGCUUGUUUUUGCACCAACUGUUCAACUAACUUAGUGUGUGUGUGUGUGUGUGUGUGUGUGUGUGUGUGUGUGUGUGUGUGUGUGUGUGUGUGUGUGUGUGUGUGUGUGUGUGUGUGUGUGUGUGUGUGUGUGUGUGUGUGUGUGUGUGUGUGUGUGUGUGCACACGAACACUUGUGUAUAUGUGUAGAGGUCGGCAGGGGGCCACACGACUAACCGUUGCCCAUGUCCAUGAGCACUGCAGCCAUUCCACUACCAUAAACUCACAUAACAUUGUAGUGACUAUACAGGUGAGUAUGGAAUGCUCUAAGAAUGCUCUAAGAAUGCUCUAAGAAUGCUCAACUGGAAUGCUGUAAGAGUAGAGUUAGACUGGGGAAAUGGCUCCAUGUCAGAGUAGGGUUAGACUGGGGAAAUGGCUCCAUGUCAUUGCAGGGAGAAUACUGAGUAAUUGGGAUAAUGUGAUUUACCUGGAGAGAAGAGUGUAGAGAGACUGAGUGCCUGUGAGUUCCUAUUUCACAGUCUGUUAUCUAAACCCAGCUACCUUAUAAACCAAGCCCGUCAUUCCUCCUGUCCUGGCUGAAAUAUAUUACCACUGAUUGGUUUGGUAAUGGACUAUUUAUCAGUCUGGAUGGGUGAGACUUUACUCUAGAUGUCUGUCUGUCUGUCUGUCUGUCUGUCUGUCUGUCUGUCUGUCUGUCUGUCUGUCUGUCUGUCUGUCUGUCUGUCUGUCUGUCUGUCUGUCUUACCUCCUCUCUAUCUCUCUCCUCCCUGUCUUCACUGGCCAUCCCCCCCCCUUCUAUACCUCCCUCUCUCCCUCCUCCCUCCUCUCCCUCCUCCCCCGGCUGUGUGGCUGGCUGGCAGGUCCUGUCCUGUCAGCCCGACCAGGCAGAGGGAG